GGAGGAAAGUAGGGGAUCGCAAGACCUUGCGCUUUUUGAGCGGCCGAUGCCUGAUUAGCUAGUUGGUAAGGUAAUGGCUUACCAAGGCAACGAUCAGUAGCUGGUCUGAGAGGACGACCAGCCACACUGGGACUGAGACACGGCCCAGACUCCUACGGGAGGCAGCAGUGGGGAAUUUUGGGCAAUGGGCGAAAGCCUGAUCCAGCCAUGCCGCGUGAGUGAAGAAGGCCUUCGGGUUGUAAGGCUCUUUCGGUCGGGAAGAAAUAGUUGUGGCUAAUAUCCACAAUGAAUGACGGUACCGACAUAAGAAGCACCGGCUAACUACGUGCCAGCAGCCGCGGUAAUACGUAGGGUGCAAGCGUUAAUCGGAAUUAUUGGGCGUAAAGGGUGCGCAGGCGGUUGUAUAAGUCAGAUGUGAAAUCCCUGGGCUUAACCUAGGAAUUGCGUUUGAAACUACAAAGCUAG
Molecule: ribosomal RNA, 465 nt
Filed under: uncultured ammonia-oxidizing bacterium
Lineage: Bacteria
Description: bacterial SSU rRNA
Rfam family: Bacterial small subunit ribosomal RNA
Source: RNAcentral